GUGAACCAGUACCGUGAGGGAAAGGCGAAAAGAACCCCGGCGAGGGGAGUGAAAAAGAACCUGAAACCGUGUACGUACAAGCAGUGGGAGCACCCUUCGGGGUGUGACUGCGUACCUUUUGUAUAAUGGGUCAGCGACUUAUAUUCUGUAGCAAGGUUAACCGUAUAGGGGAGCCGUAGGGAAACCGAGUCUUAACCGGGCGUUAAGUUGCAGGGUAUAGACCCGAAACCCGGUGAUCUAGCCAUGGGCAGGUUGAAGGUUGGGUAACACUAACUGGAGGACCGAACCGACUAAUGUUGAAAAAUUAGCGGAUGACCUGUGGCUGGGGGUGAAAGGCCAAUCAAACCGGGAGAUAGCUGGUUCUCCCCGAAAGCUAUUUAGGUAGCGCCUCGUGAAUUCAUCUCCGGGGGUAGAGCACUGUUUCGGCUAGGGGGCCAUCCCGGCUUACCAACCCGAUGCAAACUGCGAAUACCGGAGAAUGUUAUCACGGGAGACACACGGCGGGUGCUAACGUCCGUCGUGAAGAGGGAAACAACCCAGACCGCCAGCUAAGGUCCCAAAGUCAUGGUUAAGUGGGAAACGAUGUGGGAAGGCCCAGACAGCCAGGAUGUUGGCUUAGAAGCAGCCAUCAUUUAAAGAAAGCGUAAUAGCUCACUGGUCGAGUCGGCCUGCGCGGAAGAUGUAACGGGGCUAAACCAUGCACCGAAGCUGCGGCAGCGAACGUAUCACCCAAGACAACUUUACGGAGUUGACGAUUGACGGAGCGAAGCGACGUCAAAGCGUUCAUUAAAGUCGAGUUGGCUUAGGGAUACGUUCGUUGGGUAGGGGAGCGUUCUGUAAGCCUGUGAAGGUGUGUCGUGAGGCAUGCUGGAGGUAUCAGAAGUGCGAAUGCUGACAUAAGUAACGAUAAAGCGGGUGAAAAGCCCGCUCGCCGGAAGACCAAGGGUUCCUGUCCAACGUUAAUCGGGGCAGGGUGAGUCGACCCCUAAGGCGAGGCCGAAAGGCGUAGUCGAUGGGAAACGGGUUAAUAUUCCCGUACUUGGUGUUACUGCGAAGGGGGGACGGAGAAGGCUAUGUUGGCCGGGCGACGGUUGUCCCGGUUUAAGCGUGUAGGUGUGUGUUCCAGGUAAAUCCGGUUCACUUUAACACUGAGGCGUGACGACGAGGCACUACGGUGCUGAAGCAACAAAUGCCCUGCUUCCAGGAAAAGCCUCUAAGCAUCAGGUAACACGAAAUCGUACCCCAAACCGACACAGGUGGUCAGGUAGAGAAUACCAAGGCGCUUGAGAGAACUCGGGUGAAGGAACUAGGCAAAAUGGUGCCGUAACUUCGGGAGAAGGCACGCUGACACGUAGGUGAAGUGAUUUACUCAUGGAGCUGAAGUCAGUCGAAGAUACCAGCUGGCUGCAACUGUUUAUUAAAAACACAGCACUGUGCAAACACGAAAGUGGACGUAUACGGUGUGACGCCUGCCCGGUGCCGGAAGGUUAAUUGAUGGGGUCAGCGCAAGCGAAGCUCCUGAUCGAAGCCCCGGUAAACGGCGGCCGUAACUAUAACGGUCCUAAGGUAGCGAAAUUCCUUGUCGGGUAAGUUCCGACCUGCACGAAUGGCGUAAUGAUGGCCAGGCUGUCUCCACCCGAGACUCAGUGAAAUUGAACUCGCUGUGAAGAUGCAGUGUACCCGCGGCAAGACGGAAAGACCCCGUGAACCUUUACUAUAGCUUGACACUGAACAUUGAGCCUUGAUGUGUAGGAUAGGUGGGAGGCUUUGAAGUGUGGACGCCAGUCUGCAUGGAGCCGACCUUGAAAUACCACCCUUUAAUGUUUGAUGUUCUAACGUGGACCCGUAAUCCGGGUUGCGGACAGUGUCUGGUGGGUAGUUUGACUGGGGCGGUCUCCUCCUAAAGAGUAACGGAGGAGCACGAAGGUUGGCUAAUCCUGGUCGGACAUCAGGAGGUUAGUGCAAUGGCAUAAGCCAGCUUGACUGCGAGCGUGACGGCGCGAGCAGGUGCGAAAGCAGGUCAUAGUGAUCCGGUGGUUCUGAAUGGAAGGGCCAUCGCUCAACGGAUAAAAGGUACUCCGGGGAUAACAGGCUGAUACCGCCCAAGAGUUCAUAUCGACGGCGGUGUUUGGCACCUCGAUGUCGGCUCAUCACAUCCUGGGGCUGAAGUAGGUCCCAAGGGUAUGGCUGUUCGCCAUUUAAAGUGGUACGCGAGCUGGGUUUAGAACGUCGUGAGACAGUUCGGUCCCUAUCUGCCGUGGGCGCUGGAGAACUGAGGGGGGCUGCUCCUAGUACGAGAGGACCGGAGUGGACGCAUCACUGGUGUUCGGGUUGUCAUGCCAAUGGCACUGCCCGGUAGCUAAAUGCGGAAGAGAUAAGUGCUGAAAGCAUCUAAGCACGAAACUUGCCCCGAGAUGAGUUCUCCCUGAGACUUAGAGUCUCCUGAAGGAACGUUGAAGACGACGACGUUGAUAGGCCGGGUGUGUAAGCGCAGCGAUGCGUUGAGCUAACCGGUACUAAUGAACCGUGAGGCUUAACC
RNAcentral lists this ribosomal RNA (2539 nucleotides) under Salmonella enterica. RNAcentral's name for it is "bacterial LSU rRNA". It matches the Rfam family "Bacterial large subunit ribosomal RNA", at positions 490 to 2925 of the family's 2925-position model. Lineage: Bacteria; Pseudomonadati; Pseudomonadota; Gammaproteobacteria; Enterobacterales; Enterobacteriaceae. The record is from RNAcentral.